AUAUAAAUGUGUGUAUAUAUGAAACUGCAGGUCACGAAAUUAUAUCCAACAUUUGUUUCCAAUACAAUCCAUAUAAAAUGAUCAUAAUUAAUUUAUUUAUACACUGAAAAAAGUUAAACGUCUGUAUCGUUCACGUGAUCGCAUGACGUCACACUGGGUUGUUUUGCUGUCCGCCAUUACGUCGCCACAAGCGGGACGUCAGUCAGCGAGCUGGAGCUCAAAACUGUCGUAAAGAAGAAAUAACCUGCUUGCUUGCCCUAAAGUCCACUUCCUGUUCUUCUCCUCCUGGACUCAGAUUCCCAUCAUGCAGUUCUUCACUGUAACGCCGCCCUCGCCAAAGGCUUCCAGAGGGAUGUGGAGACCAAGACCACAUUGAGUACAAAAGGAGCGAUGAAUGAACAGAGAGGACCUGGAGGAGACUGUGGUGACAGUGAGCCAGCUGACCCACGUACCUGCUGACGGUGAUCACCUGGCAGAUCUGCUACAGCAAGAAGCUGUACGAGAUUCUUCAUGUCAUAUUGGACGAGGAUCUUAUGGACCUGCUCAAUCAACAAAGUGUCACCAGAUGUGACUUGAUGAUUAUGAAGUGAACAAAUAAAGAUUUGCUUUCAUGA
Long non-coding RNA from Acanthopagrus latus (yellowfin seabream), 614 nucleotides. RefSeq lists it as uncharacterized. The transcript has 5 exons. NCBI's taxonomy places the organism in Eukaryota, Metazoa, Chordata, Actinopteri, Spariformes, Sparidae. The record is from RefSeq and is a predicted model, not a curated record.